AAGUCGUAACAAGGUUUCCGUAGGUGAACCUGCGGAAGGAUCAUUAAUGAGAACCAUGGGGAGCGUGGGGCGGGUCAAACCCCUCGCGUCUCUCCCAAUCUCCCAAAACCCCCUGUCUACCGACCUCACACACACAUAAAGUACGCAAUAAAAAGUCGUCCUUAGCGGGGCGCACUACAAUAAAUGUACAAAAAACAAAACUUUCAACAACGGAUCUCUUGGUUCUG
Molecule: unclassified non-coding RNA, 227 nt
Filed under: air metagenome
Description: partial contains small subunit ribosomal RNA, internal transcribed spacer 1, and 5.8S ribosomal RNA
Rfam family: Eukaryotic small subunit ribosomal RNA (bases 1-46)
Source: RNAcentral